Molecule: RNA transcript, 2606 nt
Organism: Juglans microcarpa x Juglans regia
Lineage: Eukaryota; Viridiplantae; Streptophyta; Magnoliopsida; Fagales; Juglandaceae
Exons: 6
Source: RefSeq, a predicted model, not a curated record
UCCACACGAAACAACUUGGAGAGAGAAUAGGCGAGAGUUGAAUGGCAGAGAUACCAGAAAGAAAGAAAAGAAGAAUGGGAGACAGGAGAGGAAAGGAUACCAAGAGCCCGACUACAUCAACAAAGUGGCCGCUCAUUAAAUCCAAACAAAAUCUGCAGAUUACUCGCCUUAAAGAUACGGAUCUUUUUACUGUGCAAAAUUUCUUCGCAUCUGCUGAAUCGAAGGCAUUUAUUAAAGCUGCAGAGUCUAUUGGAUUUGUCCGCCAAGGGAGUCUUGGUCCAACAAAAGGUGAAGCUUAUAGAGAUAAUGAUCGAAUCUCUGUGAAUGAUCCUGUUCUUGCAGAAACCAUAUGGAAGUCUGGACUACACAAACUGUUUUCUGACAUUAAAAUUCGAGGCAAGGUUGCUGUUGGCUUGAAUUCAAAUAUUAGGUUCUACAGGUACAAGGUUGGUCAGCGCUUCGGACGACAUAUUGAUGAAAGUGUUGAUCUUGGAGAGGGAAAGCGCACCCAUUAUACCUUGUUAAUAUAUUUAAGUGGUGGUUUUAAACUUAAAGCAAAAAAUGACACGAGUAGCCCCAAGGAUUCUUCUUCAGAGCCUCUAGUUGGAGGAGAGACUGUCUUCUAUGGUUCAAGGAACGCGGUUGUGGCUGAGGUGGCUCCUACUGAAGGGAUGGCUCUCCUACACAUUCAUGGGGAUAAGUGUAUGUUGCAUGAAGGGCGUAAUGUAACUAAGGGUGUUAAGUAUGUUGUCCGCUCGGAUGUAGCCUUUGCCUGAUGAGUGUAGUCUCUUAGAUUUAGCAGGCUUGUUACAAGCAUCUUGAGAAUCAAUCUAGACUCUGGAGACUGUUCCCUUAUUUUGAUCUUAGAGAGAAGCAAAGCAUUUGGGACUACCUUUUCUGAUAAGUAAAGACAAAUUCCAUCCUAUCCCCCUCCAGGCCACUACAAGAAAAACCAACACAGGUCACAAGGAGUGCAAGAAGAAUAGUUGAGGUUUAAAACUAUCUAGGAAGACAGAGAGUCAGGAAUGCAGUCUCUCAGACAAAAUUUUGGCUGGAAUUUAAAGUGAAGGUCGAGAAUGAUGACUUGCUUCCUUAAGUAGCUUCUCUUUUCCCCAUUUCUUGUAAAUAAAAUAUAGACAAUGUAUAUGUGUUUACUUGGAGAUCAUUGAAGAUAUAUACUGUACCGUGAGGCUGAAGCUGACUGAGAAUUUGGUAAACUUUGUACAGAAUCUACAGAUUCUUAUGUUGUGGGCUUUAGCAUUUAAAACUUGUGGUUCUAGAGUUCUUUUUUUUAAUGGUAGGAUGGCUGUUUGGAUGUGUAGAUCAUUUAUGAAUUAAAUUGGUUGAAAAUUUGAGGGCCAUCUGGCUGAUCUUUCAAAAUGUUGGAUGCUGAUGCCUGCUUUAGAAGAUAAAAAUUUGAUCUUAGGUUUUGAUGGGUUGGUGAUGGCAAAAGUUUAGGGGAAACUUUAUUUUUUGGAUAGGUUUUUAAAGGUGCAAGAGAAAAGGGUAGGCUUUAGGGAGAAGGUGAGAGAAGCAAACCUAAGGGAUUGCUGAAGCACUGGCAAACUUAGGCCAAACUUAAGCACACUAAAGGGAGGUUUGGAUAGUGAGUUAAAAUGAGAUGAGAUGAGAUGAAAGUUGAAUAAAAUAUUAUUAGAAUAUUAUUUUUGUUUUGGGAUUUGAAAAAGUUGAAUUGUUUAUUGUAUUUUGUGUAGGAGUUUGGAAAGGUUGUAAUGAUUAGAUGAGAUGAGUUGAUAGGUUUUCUCAAUCAAAACUACCCCUAAAGCAUCCAUGCUUUCAUUAACGCUAACUUGCAUGUUCCCAUAUCAGUUCGAUUUCUUUCAGUACAAUGAAGCAUAUAUAAAUACUUGACUCUUCCUAACCUUACUAGGAAUCCAACUUAUAAAAAAAAAAAAACUGUACUAGGAGGGAGUCCAGGGGACUAGGACUAAGACACAGUUUAGAAAGUCGAAUACGAGCCUAAUGUACGAACUUACUCACACCUGUAAAGCUUUCAAAUACUCCCUGGAAACUCUAUGCUGGAUAGUAUCACUAAAAAUAUAAAGUUAAUGCAAGAUUAUUACGAAUUUUUAUUUUUCCCUUGCUCAUAAAAAUGCAAACGACUCCCAGUUUUGCAUCUGCACAUAAUUUUAGAUUUUUAUAAAUUUAAUGCAAGAUUUGUAUGAAAGUUAUAAUAGGCUAUAGCUGGUCUUUCACUUUUGGGUUCAUCUUGGGAUUUCAUACGGUAUUUUUGUACAUUUUAUUGUUUCGAGGAUUGUUGGUAUCAGAACUUGUUGCAUGAAGGCAAAUAUGACAAUAAAGAUGGUCACUAUAAGUGUGGAACCAUUUGCUUGGGCAACUUGUUCAAAUGAUAGGCACAAUAUGGUGUGGAUGCCAAGUUUCUACUGUUGAAUUGGCCGAAAUGGCAAGCUGAAGCUACUAGUGAAUAUCUGUAUGGCUCUUUUAAUUCUAUGAAGAAUGGCUCCCAAAGAAAUAUCUUGAUUUAUUGUCCCUUCUGUUUGUUGGCAAAUAGUAAAAAUGUGAAUUUUCCAUAUGCUCUGCUCAUACAUUUCCCAUUAUUCCUAUGCAAAAAGAGCAUUUUCAUA